RNAcentral lists this ribosomal RNA (294 nucleotides) under uncultured Pseudomonadota bacterium. RNAcentral describes it as "uncultured proteobacterium partial 16S ribosomal RNA". It matches the Rfam family "Bacterial small subunit ribosomal RNA", at positions 195 to 476 of the family's 1533-position model. Lineage: Bacteria; Pseudomonadati; Pseudomonadota. The record is from RNAcentral.
CACGGAGUAAAGAGGGCUUCGGCUCUCGCCAUCGGAUGAGCCUAUGCAAGAUUAGCUUGUUGGUAAGGUAAUGGCUUACCAAGGCUACGAUCUUUAGCUGGUUUGAGAGGACGACCAGCCACAUCGGGACUGAGACACGGCCCGGACUUCUACGGAAGGCAGCAGUAGGGAAUAUUGGACAAUGAGCGAAAGCUUGAUCCAGCUAUGCCGCGUGUGCGAUGAAGACCUUAGGGUUGUAAAGCACUUUAGGUUAUGAGAAAAGAUUUGGCAAUAAUACCAUCAAAUUUUGAUGUU